Molecule: ribosomal RNA, 29 nt
Filed under: Schoenus nitens var. concinnus
Lineage: Eukaryota; Viridiplantae; Streptophyta; Magnoliopsida; Poales; Cyperaceae
Also listed under: 1 other name
Description: partial 28S ribosomal RNA
Source: RNAcentral
GAUACCCCAGGUCAGGCGAGGCUACCCGC